GCCGGGCAUGGUGGCGGGCGCCUGUAGUCCCAGCUACUUGGGAGGCUGAGGCAGGAGAAUGGCUUGAACCUGGGAGGCGGAGCUUGCAGUGAGCCAAGAUCGCGCCACUGCACUCCAGCCUGGGCGAGUGAGACUCCCUCUCAAAAAAAAAAAAAAAAAGAAAAGAAAAGAAAAAUUCAGGGUUUUUUUUUUCUUUUUCAGAAAGUCUUGCUCUGUCGCCCAGGCUGGAGUGCAAUGGUGCGAGGCUUACCACAACCUCCUCUUCCCGGGUUCAAGCGAUUCUCCUGCCUCGG
Homo sapiens (human) is the source of this 293-nucleotide non-coding RNA. It matches the Rfam family "Metazoan signal recognition particle RNA". Rfam says of the family: The signal recognition particle (SRP) is a universally conserved ribonucleoprotein. It is involved in the co-translational targeting of proteins to membranes. The eukaryotic SRP consists of a 300-nucleotide 7S RNA and six proteins: SRPs 72, 68, 54, 19, 14, and 9. Lineage: Eukaryota; Metazoa; Chordata; Mammalia; Primates; Hominidae. The record is from Rfam.